AGUGAACGCUGGCGGUAGGCCUAACACAUGCAAGUCGAACGGCAGCACAGUAAGAGCUUGCUCUUACGGGUGGCGAGUGGCGGACGGGUGAGGAAUACAUCGGAAUCUACUUUUUCGUGGGGGAUAACGUAGGGAAACUUACGCUAAUACCGCAUACGACCUACGGGUGAAAGCAGGGGAUCUUCGGACUUUGCGCGAUUGAAUGAGCCGAUGUCGGAUUAGCUAGUUGGCGGGGUAAAGGCCCACCAAGGCGACGAUCCGUAGCUGGUCUGAGAGGAUGAUCAGCCACACUGGAACUGAGACACGGUCCAGACUCCUACGGGAGGCAGCAGUGGGGAAUAUUGGACCAAGGGCGCAAGCCUGAUCCAGCCAUACCGCGUGGGUGAAGAAGGCCUUCGGGUUGUAAAGCCCUUUUGUUGGGAAAGAAAAGCAGCAGGUUAAUACCCCGCUGUUCUGACGGUACCCAAAGAAUAAGCACCGGCUAACUUCGUG
Molecule: ribosomal RNA, 492 nt
Filed under: uncultured bacterium
Lineage: Bacteria
Description: partial 16S ribosomal RNA
Rfam family: Bacterial small subunit ribosomal RNA
Source: RNAcentral